GGAAUUUGAAGAUAAUUUUGAUGAUGAGAUAGACUUCACACCACCAGCAGAAGACACCCCCUCUGUCCAGUCCCCAGCAGAGGUCUUCACACUCUCAGUGCCAAACAUUUCACUUCCAGCCCCAUCCCAGUUCCAGUCUUCUGUGGGUAAGACCUUCUUUCCAAGCGUUGAGUGUAUGGAGGCCGAGUUGCAGUCACAGCGUGCUGGGUGCCCGUUUCUUCCUCUGCUUGUCUGUUUUUCUCCUACUCCUACUGAUGCCGCAUCGUGAGAGUCAGGCUCGUCUGCAAAGUCUGUCUAUCUCUCUCUGACUCCUGAAGUCUAGUGUAAGAAUAAAACAGCUCUGGCUGGAGAGAUGGUUCAGCAGUUAAGAGCUUUGGCUGCUCUUCCAGAGGUGCUGAGUUCAAUUCCAGCAGAUGCACGGAGGCUCAUAACCAUCUGUAACGGGAUCUGAUGUCCUCUUCUGUCAUGCAGGCAGACAUGAAUUAGAACACUCAUACAUAAAAUACAUAAAUAAGUAAAUCUUAAACAAAAUUAAACAAAA
RNAcentral lists this long non-coding RNA (541 nucleotides) under Rattus norvegicus (Norway rat). RNAcentral describes it as "long non-coding RNA NONRATT007762". The record is from RNAcentral. Lineage: Eukaryota; Metazoa; Chordata; Mammalia; Rodentia; Muridae.